Molecule: transfer RNA, 71 nt
Filed under: Nocomis micropogon (river chub)
Lineage: Eukaryota; Metazoa; Chordata; Actinopteri; Cypriniformes; Leuciscidae
Description: tRNA-Thr
Rfam family: tRNA
About the family: Transfer RNA (tRNA) molecules are approximately 80 nucleotides in length.
Source: RNAcentral
GCCCUGGUAGCUUAACUUAAAGCAUCGGUUUUGUAAUCCGAAGAUCGAGGGUUAAACCCCCUCCCAGCGCC